This 427-nucleotide ribosomal RNA is filed under the name uncultured bacterium. Its description in RNAcentral is "partial 16S ribosomal RNA". It matches the Rfam family "Bacterial small subunit ribosomal RNA", at positions 355 to 774 of the family's 1533-position model. The record is from RNAcentral.
UGGGGAAUAUUGCACAAUGGGCGCAAGCCUGCUGCAGCCAUGCCGCGUGUAUGAAGAAGGCCUUCGGGUUGUAAAGUACUUUCAGCGAGGAGGAAGGCGUUGUGGUUAAUAACCGCAGCGAUUGACGUUACUCGCAGAAGAAGCACCGGCUAACUCCGUGCCAGCAGCCGCGGUAAUACGGAGGGUGCAAGCGUUAAUCGGAAUUACUGGGCGUAAAGCGCACGCAGGCGGUCUGUCAAGUCGGAUGUGAAAUCCCCGGGCUCAACCUGGGAACUGCAUCCGAAACUGGCAGGCUAGAGUCUUGUAGAGGGGGGUAGAAUUCCAGGUGUAGCGGUGAAAUGCGUAGAGAUCUGGAGGAAUACCGGUGGCGAAGGCGGCCCCCUGGACAAAGACUGACGCUCAGGUGCGAAAGCGUGGGGAGCAAACA